GAGAGAGAGGUGGUGUUAAAUGGAAUUUCCAGUUGAAAAAUAUGUCCAGUCAGUAACUUAACCACUGAUUUGGACGGCCACUUAACGGAUGGACCUAAUUGUGUGACAUUGGAUAGUUAAUGGAGUAAUCGAUUGAAAUUGAAAGUUAAUGGAGUAAACUGUCGAGCGCAUGAAAGUUAAUGGAGUGACCAGUAAUUAAUUCAUAAUUUUAUCAUGCAACAAGAUGAAAUAAAUUAUUCUGGAGAUAACAAAAUCCCCAAAUUAUUUUAUGGAACUGAAGAUAUAGAAGAGGUAAUGGUUCUUCAAAAUAAAGAACCUAAUGAAGAAAAAUAUAACAAUAUUGUGGAAAUUUUGGAUUACUGGAAAACUAUCUAUAAAGAUCCAGAAGCAACAAUGGAGAAAAGAAACCAUAUUCUAUAUCAAAUAAGAUUAACCUAUUUAAAAUAUGAAGAUCUGUUUUCUUAUUUUAAUUAUGAUAUUAAUAUGUUAUCUAGAUGAUGAAUCAACAUCUUCAGAAUCUAAUGAAGAUGACAAUGAAAUAAAUGCUUUAAG
Molecule: long non-coding RNA, 552 nt
Filed under: Fragaria vesca (wild strawberry)
Lineage: Eukaryota; Viridiplantae; Streptophyta; Magnoliopsida; Rosales; Rosaceae
Description: long non-coding RNA (FVES_LNC005062)
Source: RNAcentral